GGGCAAUUGGUCUAGUGGUAUGAUUCUCGUUUUGGGUACGAGAGGUCCCGGGUUCAAUCCCCGGAUUGCCCC
This is a transfer RNA of Ichthyophthirius multifiliis, 72 nucleotides long. It matches the Rfam family "tRNA". Rfam says of the family: Transfer RNA (tRNA) molecules are approximately 80 nucleotides in length. Their secondary structure includes four short double-helical elements and three loops (D, anti-codon, and T loops). The record is from Rfam. Lineage: Eukaryota; Ciliophora; Oligohymenophorea; Hymenostomatida.